CCCUGGUUGGCUCAGUGGUUGAGCAUCUGCCUUCGACUCAGGUCUCGACCCCAGGAUCCUGGGAUCCAGUCCCAAAUCAGGCU
Molecule: transfer RNA, 83 nt
Filed under: Canis lupus familiaris (dog)
Lineage: Eukaryota; Metazoa; Chordata; Mammalia; Carnivora; Canidae
Also listed under: 1 other name
Rfam family: tRNA
About the family: Transfer RNA (tRNA) molecules are approximately 80 nucleotides in length. Their secondary structure includes four short double-helical elements and three loops (D, anti-codon, and T loops).
Source: Rfam by way of RNAcentral